This is a long non-coding RNA of Gadus macrocephalus (Pacific cod), 3076 nucleotides long. RefSeq lists it as uncharacterized. The transcript has 2 exons. NCBI's taxonomy places the organism in Eukaryota, Metazoa, Chordata, Actinopteri, Gadiformes, Gadidae. The record is from RefSeq and is a predicted model, not a curated record.
UGCUUCGCUGAUCAUAGAUUUGUUUGGAGUGCAGUGGCGUGUGUAUACUUUUGCAUUACCUCGGGUCGACGAGCUGACAGACAUGACCCUGGCCUGCAUCACCAUGUGACCCUCCCACAUCCACCUAACUGUUUUCAAAUGUCUCCGAUUAUAGGUCAAGUGUGAAGAAGCGAAGUAAGACCAAUCACAAUGAUAAGGUAUUGGAAGCUACUUUACACAAUUUGUCAACGACUUGUUUGUUAUACACACAUCUACAAGCCCACUGAGUUCAAGGGCAUCAUGUGAAACCCUGUAUUGGCGUUAGGCCUAGUUCUGGUCAGGUCCUUUUGUACAGCCCUUUGUCAAGUGGUAUCGGUGCGAACAGUGCUAAACAAUUAAAAAAAGGUGACAUCCCCAAAGUUAAGGCCACCUUGAUCCAUCCGUUCCUUACCACAUUAGACCUCUUUCAGAGAUGAAAGACUGACUAGAAGAGUCAACGGGCAUGUAGGGGUUGGCUCUGUGUUUUACUGGUUGGUUUAGGCAUGUUAGAAUGUUGGCACGCUAGAAUCUGAUUUUUCUUUUGUGAUGGAGUAGAUGCUGUUCUUGAACACACUACUAGCAACACUCCCAUUUCAUAUGUACUUCCAAUACAUACAAAGCAGCUGUUUACUGCUGCUUGAGGUUGACUACGGUCAAUGCUUUCCAGCGCUUUCGUUGGGUGCAAUGCGUUUUCAUUCUGUGCUUUAAGAGAUUAGCCUCUGGCAGCGUCCUUUGUACAGGUUACCAUAAACUAACAGUGUUGACCUCUUUGUGGGACUUUUCUUGUUAAACUAGUUUGUUCCCCUGCAAGGAUUUUCUUUCAGUUUUGUAGACGGUUUGUUCCAAUGAUUGACUGACAACACAUGCUUGUGUUUUCAGAAUAAAGAUUGGCAUCCCUUAUCUUCAUUGGCAAAUUCAGCUGCUUCAGUGUGACCAAAUUCUGACUAAUUACUAAAUUGUUAUGUUAAUAAUUUGCAUAUUUUAUGUAAAAACAGCAUAAAAGGACAAGUAAAGUUGACCAAGUUGAAUUGUAACUGCUUGAAUAUUGAUCAUGUUCUAAAGUGUAUUGUGUUUUUUCCUCAGGGGCAGUUCAAUUCAGACUCAGGUUGUACCUCCCCCAAAGUUCAUAGGUGAGUAUUUCAGUUUGUUUAAUUUGUUUAUUCAAUCAAUGAUUAAUGUUCUUCCAGUAAAGAAUAAAGUGCUGCCAUUAUGAGGCUUUAUUUUCCCCACAUUUGUUCUUCCAUUUUAUAGUCAUGAAAGAAAAAAAUAAAUAAUUAAAGAGCAGGUGUGUGAAUGCUAAAACUUUGCUAAACGGCAGUGGAGUUUGUGUGAGACUCUGUUGGACGCCCGGAUGUACCUGCAGUGUCCUGCCCUGCGUGUGUCCUUGGCUUGUCUUUGGCCGGGUUCCCUGGGGAGUCCUUGGCUCUUGGCCAGGAGGAGCAGAGUCAGAGGGAAUGACAAUGGAAAACCGUGAGGUGGAGGGCCUGUGGGGAUGGAGGGGUGAAAGGGGACAGUGGGCAGUGACCCCUAUCUCCCAUCUCCCCUCUUGUCUUUCUGAGCGCAGAACCAUCGACCACCGCAGCAUUGGUGCAGAUUUUCAUUGGUGAGGUUUCUACGUGGCUGAUGGAUACACCCCAUACCAUGUGACUCACACCAGGACUAGAAAUGACUCCCCUUCAACCAUCACAGGUUAGUAGGCUAGGUUGAACAUGUCUGCUAUACACAUACGCAAACGCAUACAUAGAAAAAAAGAUUUGUGUGAUCAUUUUAUUUAUUUCUUCCAUCAGUAAAAACAUCCAAAUCUCAUCUCUUGCAAAAAGAAGUCCUUCACAUAUUCAACUCCCACCAUAAUCAGAUUUAAUUUAAAAAAUCCUCAUUGUCCAGUAAAAAGUUUGUUCAAAAAUGCAGAAAAAACGAUCUCCUCUUCUCCCUUCAUUUUCCAAUUCAUACAAAAGUUGUGUGCCAUUGCUUUCUGACAUGUAACUGUCAGAGUUGAAGAAAAUCCAAGGGUAAUGAUAGUGGAUGCUUUUCUCCCCCUCAUUUAAGUGUCAUUUUUGUCAGACAGAAAUUGCACAUCACUACAUGGGUGAUACUGCAUCAAGUAUCCAAAUCUGCAAUGUGUGAAAACCUUGUUUCUCCGACUUGACUGGAAUAUGCCCUUAAUGAGCCAUUAAAACAUCCAAAAAUGGUACGAUUUUUUUUCUUAAAGAAACAAAGAGCACAUUCAUUCCUUAGUUUCAUUGGUUGGUUGUCAUUGCCAUGUUAUUCCUUUUUAAGACUCAUCAAGAUUGUGGAUCAGCCCAUUUGCAGUAGAAUGGCAGAAAAAGGCUUAAUAUGUUUGGUUUGAACUGAAUAUCCUUGCCCUGUUAGCAUGGGUUUGAACAAGCUCAACUAGAAUACACAUGAGCCAACAGAUGUUUAGUUAUUUUAUAGUAUACAUAAACCAAAAUAGUAGCAAUGACAGAAGCUAGAAUUUUGACUGACUGCUACAUAGGGCUGAGCGAUAAUUCCAUUAUCUUUCAGUAGCAUGUUCUUAAUCAUAAUUCAUUAUAAUGUGUAGUGUUGUAGUCUCUUGAUUUUGUCAUAAGACUUCCAUCUAGCAACAAAACAAGGUUUGAUAGCGCUUUGAGUGCGAGAAAAGCGCUAUAUAAAUUUAAUUUAUUAUUAUUAUUAUAAUAUAUAAAAUUGAAUUGCACUUAUAUAGUGUCAGUACUCAUGUGUAACAUGAGUAACAUGUGCCGUGCUCAUUGUACAUACCGUUAUACCUGCAAUUAAUGGCUGUCCACAGAAUAACGCUGUUUGGAUGCAAAACUGCGUAACAUUGUACUUGUAAUUACAAUACAUUUCAUCCAAAAAUGUAUGAAUAUUGAUCUGAUAUACCUGAAAUUACAACAUAUUUUCAAUGGUAACUUUUGUAAUGCAAAUUAAAAACAAUUGCACAUAUCUUUUGAAUAUUUUGUUAAGUCUUAAAAGUCCUAGUGUUAAUACCGCCCAGCCGUAGAUCUAGAGCACUUCAUAAGGCAUGGCUGAAAGACAACAGGGGGAAAAGUUGGCUUUG